GAUGAACGCUGGCGGCGUGCCUAAUACAUGCAAGUCGAGCGAACAGAUGAGGAGCUUGCUCCUUCGACGUUAGCGGCGGACGGGUGAGUAACACGUAGGUAACCUACCUAUAAGACUGGGAUAACUUCGGGAAACCGGAGCUAAUACCGGAUAAUAUUUCGAACCGCAUGGUUCGAUAGUGAAAGAUGGCUUUGCUAUCACUUAUAGAUGGACCUGCGCCGUAUUAGCUAGUUGGUAAGGUAACGGCUUACCAAGGCAACGAUACGUAGCCGACCUGAGAGGGUGAUCGGCCACACUGGAACUGAGACACGGUCCAGACUCCUACGGGAGGCAGCAGUAGGGAAUCUUCCGCAAUGGGCGAAAGCCUGACGGAGCAACGCCGCGUGAGUGAUGAAGGUCUUCGGAUCGUAAAACUCCGUUAUUAGGGAAGAACAAACGUGUAAGUAACUGUGCACGUCUUGACGGUACCUAAUCAGAAAGCCACGGCUAACUACGUG
This 497-nucleotide ribosomal RNA is filed under the name uncultured bacterium. RNAcentral's name for it is "partial 16S ribosomal RNA". It matches the Rfam family "Bacterial small subunit ribosomal RNA", at positions 28 to 507 of the family's 1533-position model. The record is from RNAcentral.